This 120-nucleotide small RNA is filed under the name Staphylococcus aureus. It matches the Rfam family "S. aureus tsr24 small RNA", at positions 119 to 238 of the family's 238-position model. The record is from RNAcentral. Lineage: Bacteria; Bacillati; Bacillota; Bacilli; Caryophanales; Staphylococcaceae.
ACGUAGUAUUAAUGGCGAGACUCCUGAGGGAGCAGUGCCAGUCGAAGACCGAGGCUGAGACGGCACCCUAGGAAAGCGAAGCCAUUCAAUACGAAGUAUUGUAUAAAUAGAGAACAGCAG